GUAGAAAUCUGGUACCUUCGGUUCCUGCUUUGCAAGCAGGGGGUCGUGGGUUCGAUUCCCAUCCGCUCCA
RNAcentral lists this transfer RNA (70 nucleotides) under Gemmatimonadales bacterium. RNAcentral describes it as "tRNA-Ala". It matches the Rfam family "tRNA". Rfam says of the family: Transfer RNA (tRNA) molecules are approximately 80 nucleotides in length. Their secondary structure includes four short double-helical elements and three loops (D, anti-codon, and T loops). The record is from RNAcentral. Lineage: Bacteria; Pseudomonadati; Gemmatimonadota; Gemmatimonadia; Gemmatimonadales.